CUCGACUUUUAAUGAAACCCUAACGAUUAUUUGCUUUUGUCCUUUCCCUUCUACAUUCGUUUUGCACCGCUUUCGAUUCUCCCGCGUGGUUUAGAGCAGAAGUGCUCUCUUCCACUGCAUCAUAAGCUCUUUAAUGGAUCUGCUGCAGGUUUCUUGUUGAUGAUUCUGUGCUCAAUUGCUCAUCCGUUCCUCCUGACUCUGUUUCCGUGCCAAUUGAAACCAUAAACAGAAGUUUGGGUGUUAUGGCCCUGCCAAUACUGCCCUGGUUCCCCCCUUGGGUAUCAAUCAGAUUCCAGGUCCCACGCAACCCAGGACCUCAGACGCAUGAAGAAUGAGAGGCUGUCAGGUCUUUAUUGGGUGUUAAAUUGUUAACCUCCUACUCAACCUGAGAUAUGAACUCUGAUUCUAUUAUACGGAAUGAAGAUAGUGAUAUUUGUGUUUGUCGAACAACUUUCAUCUCUCACAUAAAAGAAGCUGAAGGGGACUAGUGCCUCUUUUCUCUGAUUAUGCUCUAUAUGUGCCAGAAAAAUGGGAAAGAUGACUUUGAGUCUAAAUGUCAAGAUAUGAAUAUGUCUCUUGCCAUGACCUGGUGGGGAUUUGCUGCCGACGAAAAAAGGUAUUUUCAACUGAACAUCAAUAAUGCUUCUUAAAGUGGUCAUUCUAAAAAGCUUCAUUACGACU
Long non-coding RNA from Nymphaea colorata (pocket water lily), 681 nucleotides. RefSeq lists it as uncharacterized. The record is from RefSeq and is a predicted model, not a curated record. The transcript has 3 exons. NCBI's taxonomy places the organism in Eukaryota, Viridiplantae, Streptophyta, Magnoliopsida, Nymphaeales, Nymphaeaceae.